GGCGGGAUAGCAAAACGGUCAUGCAGCAGCCUGCAAAGCUGCGUAAGUUGGUUCAAUUCCAACUCCCGCCUCCA
This 74-nucleotide transfer RNA is filed under the name Massilia glaciei. RNAcentral describes it as "tRNA-Cys". It matches the Rfam family "tRNA". Rfam says of the family: Transfer RNA (tRNA) molecules are approximately 80 nucleotides in length. Their secondary structure includes four short double-helical elements and three loops (D, anti-codon, and T loops). Further hydrogen bonds mediate the characteristic L-shaped molecular structure. tRNAs have two regions of fundamental functional importance: the anti-codon, which is responsible for specific mRNA codon recognition, and the 3' end, to which the tRNAs corresponding amino acid is attached (by aminoacyl-tRNA synthetases). tRNAs cope with the degeneracy of the genetic code in two manners: having more than one tRNA (with a specific anti-codon) for a particular amino acid; and 'wobble' base-pairing, i.e. permitting non-standard base-pairing at the 3rd anti-codon position. Lineage: Bacteria; Pseudomonadati; Pseudomonadota; Betaproteobacteria; Burkholderiales; Oxalobacteraceae. The record is from RNAcentral. RNAcentral also lists the same sequence under 1 other name.